This 253-nucleotide ribosomal RNA is filed under the name uncultured bacterium. RNAcentral's name for it is "partial 16S ribosomal RNA". It matches the Rfam family "Bacterial small subunit ribosomal RNA", at positions 524 to 776 of the family's 1533-position model. The record is from RNAcentral.
UACGUAGGGGGCGAGCGUUGUCCGGAAUCAUUGGGCGUAAAGCGCGCGUAGGCGGCCCCGUAAGUCCGCUGUGAAAGUCAAAGGCUCAACCUUUGAAAGCCGGUGGAUACUGUGGGGCUAGAGUCCGGAAGAGGCGAGUGGAAUUCCUGGUGUAGCGGUGGAAUGCGCAGAUAUCAGGAGGAACACCUGUGGUGUAGACAGCUUACUGGACCACUUCUGACGCUGAGACACGAAAGCGUGGGUAGCAAACAGG